Molecule: ribosomal RNA, 252 nt
Filed under: uncultured microorganism
Description: partial 16S ribosomal RNA
Rfam family: Bacterial small subunit ribosomal RNA
Source: RNAcentral
UACGUAGGGUGCGAGCGUUGAUCGGAUUUACUGGGCGUAAAGCGUGCGCAGGCGGCCCGUUAAGACAGGUGUGAAAUCCCUGGGCUCAACCUAGGAAUUGCGCUUGUGACUGGCGGGCUCGAGUACGGUAGAGGGGGUGGAAUUCCUGGUGUAGCAGUGAAAUGCGUAGAGAUCAGGAGGAACACCGAUGGCGAAGGCAGCCCCCUGGGCCUGUACUGACGCUCAUGCACGAAAGCGUGGGGAGCAAACAGG